This 427-nucleotide ribosomal RNA is filed under the name uncultured bacterium. RNAcentral describes it as "partial 16S ribosomal RNA". It matches the Rfam family "Bacterial small subunit ribosomal RNA", at positions 354 to 796 of the family's 1533-position model. The record is from RNAcentral.
GUGGGGAAUAUUGGGCAAUGGGCGAAAGCCUGACCCAGCAACGCCGCGUGAGGGAAGAAGGUUUUCGGAUCGUAAACCUCUGUCCUUAGUGAAGAGAAAGAGACGGUAGCUAAGGAGGAAGCCCCGGCUAACUACGUGCCAGCAGCCGCGGUAAUACGUAGGGGGCGAGCGUUGUCCGGAAUGAUUGGGCGUAAAGGGCGCGUAGGCGGCCUGUUAAGUCCGGAGUGAAAUUCCUGCUUUCAAGGUAGGAAGUGCUUUGGAAACUGGCGGGCUGGAGUGCAGGAGAGGUUAGCGGAAUUCCCGGUGUAGCGGUGAAAUGCGUAGAGAUCGGGAGGAACACCAGUGGCGAAGGCGGCUAACUGGACUGUAACUGACGCUGAGGCGCGAAAGUGUGGGGAGCAAACAGGAUUAGAAACCCGGGUAGUCC